AGAAUCAACGCUGGCGGCGUGCCUAACACAUGCAAGUCGAACGAGAAAGUGGAGCAAUCCAUGAGUAAAGUGGCGCACGGGUGAGUAACACGUGACUAACCUACCCUUGAGUGGGGGAUAACCUAGGGAAACCUGGGCUAAUACCGCAUAAUACCUUCGGGUCAAAGGAGCAAUUCGCUUAAGGAGGGGGUCGCGGCCGAUUAGUUAGUUGGCGGGGUAAUGGCCCACCAAGACGAUGAUCGGUAUCCGGCCUGAGAGGGCGCACGGACACACUGGAACUGAAACACGGUCCAGACUCCUACGGGAGGCAGCAGUGGGGAAUUUUGCGCAAUGGGGGAAACCCUGACGCAGCAACGCCGCGUGGAGGAUGAAGCCCCUUGGGGCGUAAACUCCUUUCGAUCGGGACGAUUAUGACGGUACCGGAAGAAGAAGCCCCGGCUAACUUCGCGCCAGCAGCCGC
This 460-nucleotide ribosomal RNA is filed under the name uncultured bacterium. RNAcentral's name for it is "SSU rRNA". It matches the Rfam family "Bacterial small subunit ribosomal RNA", at positions 26 to 518 of the family's 1533-position model. The record is from RNAcentral.